Molecule: long non-coding RNA, 10536 nt
Filed under: Xyrichtys novacula (pearly razorfish)
Lineage: Eukaryota; Metazoa; Chordata; Actinopteri; Labriformes; Labridae
Source: RNAcentral
UGGAAAUGUGGGUAGGUUUUGGGAGGGGCCCUGGCCUAUAAGUCUGAAAUGCAUUAAAGCAGAGUCUCAAAUAGAAUCAGAGACAUUCUGGGAAUCAUAUUUUGACAAACCAGGGAGAUCUGUGGCUGCAUCUUACAGCACAAAGCCGGUGAAGGAUGUGAGAGUUGAUCCUUACAGGCCAGUUUGGGAAUAAAUUAUUAAAAUCACGGAUGUUUCCAGGCUAAAUUUAGCAGCUUGUCUAAAAGCAGCACUCAAAGGAUUUCAGCUAAAAGAAAGUGUCUUUAAAGAAAUAGUGAGCGUAAAAUGAAAUUCUGUCAUUGUCUGCUCAGUGUCUUGUCAGCUGAAACUCCACUGAACUUCAGAGAAAUAGCAAACACUGAAAGUAAAUACCCAUGUAUCUGUAUGUCUCAGCCUGUGGGAGAAUAAAGGAUACACAUACUGGAUUCUUGGGAUACACAGCAAAGACUUUCUGCAACACUUGUUUGUUGAGCUAUCUGGACUAAUUUGAAGCUUUAUAUUCUUGUUAAAAAGAUGAACCUGUCAAUCUAGAUUUUGUCCCGAAAGACUGAAAUCUUACCUAACCUGAUUAUUAAGCAAGAUUUAAGUUUUGGUGAACUGUGCCUUUAAAAUCUUUCUUUCACCGUGCUUUUAAAAAGUUCCUCAGAGCCAGCUUCUUAACCUGUCACAGUUUAACUUCAAAAUGUAACUGUGAUUAAGAUUAUGAAACCAAAUCUGACUUCCCUGUGUCACUGUUUCUUUUAACUUUUAAGCCAUUUAUCUGAAGCUGCUUACACGGAGCGAGCAGGUAGGAUGGUGCUGUCUCUGCUCAAGGGCACAUCAGCAGGACACGCUUCUCUGCUUCUCACUGGACCACACUGUGAUUCUUACAGGGUUAGGCGUCUCUUUCUGAAACCUUCAUCAUCCUUAUCACAAAAAAGGAGCGAGCCAAUCAAUUCUCAUUUUCCUACUUUUACCGACCACUUAGAGAGCAGCGUGUUUGUGUUUCUACUAACUUUUGUGUCUUUCCCGACAUCUCCAGAAGACAGAUGAGGACUUUAAGAUAAAGGACAGAGUCAUUUUCAACAUUUUUACAUACUUUAUGUUUUGAAAGUCAUUUUCAGGUUUAGUUUUCAUGUUUUAAAUGCCAACUCUAACACUGGUUAUGUUUUAUGACUCUAAAUACACACCUUUGUAAGAAGUCUGUCGCAUGAAUUUGCACUACCGCUUUCAAUCACUCUGCCAUUAUGCCUCAUCGCUUCACUCACUGCUCUUUUCUUCCUCUCCUUUUCAACCAUCAUUUUCUUUUCAGAGAGGCAGCUGUGAAUGAGUCUGUGUAUGUGUGUGUGCGUGAGAGAGAGAGUGUGUGUAUGUGUGUGUCAAAGGAGAAGGAGGUAGGGAGGGAGAGAGAGAGGGAGGGAAGUUUGCCAACUAGUCCUCUCUUUUGAAAACCCAGAGGGCCUGGCUGACUCCUGUCUCCAACAUGGCCGCCGUAAAUCAGUGUGAGAAGGAGCUAAGUUAAUUGCACAGGCGUUUAUGAAGGAGAAAGCCUUGAUUUACUCCAAAAGCUUUACAUCUCCCCUGUGGAUGUAGAGUGAUGAAAGGAGUGGGGCAGGGGAAAAAGGAGAAGUGGGGGAGUGCGGUGGCGUUGGGGACAGGAAGAGCACAUGGGAGCUGUGAACAAAGUUCACUCGCAGCAUUUUAGAUAAGCUGAUUGUUAAACUAGAUUAUGUGCAGAUAUGAAUCUAUCGCCUUGGGUAUAAAAACUUGUCAGGAGUCACAUUGACUUUAGUUUUAUUAUUAUGGAGUCCAGUAAAAGAGCAACACCAAAUAAACUUAUUUACAUAUAUUUGCAUAAUGUGCAUAGUGUGCAAAAGAUUUAUGUAUGUAACAAUUAGUCACCGUGUAUGUAUCCAUCCUUCUAGCAUCAACAAAUUUACAUUUUGGAAAAAAAAAAAAAAAACAGAUAAAAACUUAAAAAGUGGAUAGUAUUGAACCACUGCUGUGUAACAUAGUAACAGCUGUGAGUCCAGGACUACAGUCUUAGAUUUACCGUCUCAUGACUCCAUGAUUUGGACUCAAGUAAGGACUCAGCAUGGACUUGGAAAUGAGUAUUUAACUUCACAGGACAUAGAAUAUUAAAAAAGGAGAGGUGGACAUGUAAUAUUUUUUUUAAAAAUAACAUAAACAAGUUGAAAUAUCAACAUAUGUGAACAGUUUUUCUUUAUUGUAUUUCUUCUUCCAUAAAUGCACCAAUCCAUCUAUCUAUCUAUCUAUCUAUCUAUCUAUCUAUCUAUCUAUCUAGCUAGCUAGCUAGCUAGCUAGCUAGCUAUAUAUAUAUAUAUAUACACACACACACCUUUUUUUUUUGUUGGAAGAUGAGCAGGUAAAAAUACUUGUUAACAAAACUAAACCCCACAUAGCGAAUGGCUGAACUGCGUUCUUGAAUCAGGUUUUCCAUCUGGAGCAACUUUAAUUUGACGCCAUUCUCAGCUCUGGCAAUUGAGGUAAACGCACCAUUAACCUCAAGUCCCGACAGCAAGAGAUGUAAAUAUUAGAUAUAGGAGCCAAGACGAGUUAUUUUUAGCGUAAUGAAAUGUCCUUAUUUGCUCUGCAUGUCAGCAAACAGGCAAAGAAACGAUUACUUUUUCGAUAAGCCUCUAACUCUGUUUUUUUUUUUACAAACAUUUGCUUCAUUGUUUUGUCUUUGCAGAGGGAGAGGACCAGUGACUUCAGAAAGCAUCAUCAUCAUCACUUCCUUGCCCCCUUUCAGUAAAGCAUGUACACGAUUGUGCAUUUUGUAAUUUUAAUAUUUAAGGCGUAGCAGCCAAACCGAAAACCUGACUCAUCUAGCGCUACCUUAAGUGACUUUUACAUUUCUUAAAAUAACUUAAAUUAUUCACAGACGUUCAUUGUCACGCCCCUCAUUCAGUGUGCAGCAGAAAGGAGAGUGUGUGUCUUUGUCUUCACUGCUUUUUUUUAAUACAACUGCAUUAUGUUGGCUUUAGAUUUGUUUGUUUGUUUGUUUGUUUUGCUGCUAAUUCAAAGAGGACAUGGAUUGUUGAAACCGCGUUAGAGUACACCCAAAAACAAAAAUGAGUCCUCAAAUGUAAACUACGUAAGCGCUACAAAAAUGUGAAAUGUUCAGGGUUGUUGUUUUGAGUCUGCAACCAAACAACAAAGCGAACAUAGCGUGAAACUGUGAAUCAAGCUUUGUAAAUUAGCAGUGGUGACAAUCUUUCUGUGAGCAGAAACACAUCCUGACCUCCACAAAGAAGCCGCAGAGAAGAAGUUUGAAGUGUUCUCAUGCUCUCCGAACAUCUGUUUUAUCCACAAAGAGACCCAUUAACACUUCACCUCUCUUUUCCCCUUUCUUCCACAUUUAGCAGUAACAGCUAGUGUCUGCAUCAUGGGCUUCUUUCCUGUGUCAUGAUGCUAUCAAGGUUUCGACUGUUCAUUUGGCAGCUGCGAGAUGCAUACAGCCCCCUCACACACACACAGACACGCACACACACAGUGAACAAGGAGGUGGAAGUGGUGGAGAACCGUUGAGGCCGUGGUUUCGGAGGCACGCCUGUGUGGCUGAUGGAGGAAAACAUUCGUUAGAGCGAAGGAGACGAGGUGAGACAGAGGAAGACAGAAUAAUGAAAAUUCAGGAUGGCUUUGAAUGUAGUUGUACUGAAACUACAAGGAGGGUUAAGAGUGAAAGGAAGCUUUAAUUUUACCACAUGCUGUACUUGUGGCUUUAAGAAAAACUCGCAUACAUCAUCUUUAAUUUCAAGUUCGAACAGUUGUAAGCCAUAUAUACUAGCUUUCUUGUGUUUUUUCCCUGAACACUCUUAUCAUUAGCUUCGAAUAUAUCUUUUUCUACAGUUUGAAAGUUUUGAUAUGUAAAUUUUUAGAAAAUCAGUCCCACUAGCAGCUUUUAAAAACAGUAUAGGUGUGUGUGCUCAUUCCUCACACAUUUUUCAAGUGAUACUUUACAUUACACUAAACUUAUAGACAACGCUUUACAGGAAAAGUUUUAACAUUAUUUUGAGUGACAAAAAUAUGUAUAAAAAAGUAAAGAAUAAGUUAUGUUUCCUUUGUAUUUAAGCACUGCGGCAUACUAGGACUUCUUAUACCAGCAAUGAAAAACAUAGGGACAGCAGUCCAAAUUGUGUGCACAGCAAUGUUGGCCCGGCACCAAAAGGGCACAAAAAGGACACGUACCGACGCAGAGCUGGAUGGUGACGCAGGUGUGAAUUAAUUUACCUUGUUAUUUGGUUUUCUCCCUGAAUUUAUCACCACAUUCACGGCCCACUUUUUUCUGCCUUUAAUUUUUCUUUCAGGGAUCGUGAUAAGUCCCAUCUCCACAUUAGAUUUAUAUCAUUCCCUCAUGUUUCUUGUCUUGCAUUUCCUGUUUUAUUUUGAUAAUCUUGUCUCUUGUUCCAGGUCUGUUGACUUCUUGCUCCUCUGUGUUUCCUGCUCCUCUGAUUACUCCAAUGUGUCUCACCUGUGUCUUCUUAUCUUCACUCCUCUGGUGAAUUUAAGCACAGUGUUCCCUCACUUCAGUGCUUCAUCUUCGGUUUUGUACUUCAGCAGUCCAGUCAUUUCCCUCCAUGUUUGUUGCCCAUGUGUUUCAGUAGUUCUAUAUCAUGUUCACACCAAAAACAAACAAAAAAAGAAAGAAAUGUUAACUUGCAUAAUUCAUGUGUAUUUGGACGCCUUAGUGUUGGCUGUUUACUCGCUUAAUUUACUCAAAUGACUCACUAUAUUCGCUCGUAUGUGGGAGUGCACAAACACGAGGAAAGAAGGAUUCCUGUCAGUCUGUUUACAUCAAACAGAGCUGAGGUUGACCACAUUUUAAGGAUCUAUUGCAUUUUUACUACUUACCAUAUAAUCUGACCUCUUCACUGACUGUCUUCCUCUUUUUAUUCCUCAUAUUAAGAACAUAUUGUUUCCUAUAGCCCCGGUAUCUACAUACCGUCACAAUCAGUCGGUCCUCCAUUUUCCUCAUAAAUUAAUCUUGCUAAGUAAUCUGAACACUGAUUGGCUUUUACAAGGCUGACCAUACGUCCUCUUUGAACCGGACAUGUCCUCUUUUUGGGGGGCUGUCCGGCCUGUUCGGCCUUGUCCGGGGGAGUUUAUAAAAUCCUUCAAAUAUCUGGGGUUUUGUAAGUAAGUUUUGAGUUUGUGUGGUGUGGACUUACUGGGCUCUAUUUUCGUGCUUCGCCGGAGACCUGGCGCAGGCGCGGCGUAAGUCAGUUCUGCCGCACCGACAAGGUGUUCCAUAGAUGUUGACAUAUAAAAUAAAUUAGGCUUGCAAAACUGAAUAUUAUAAUAUUCGUAUGUAGGCUUAAAGUAAAUAACUCAUCUGAUCACUGAAACAAAUCAUCUGUUCAGCCGCUGCAGCAGCAGGACGGGGAGAGGACACGGAGACGUGUCCAGGUCGAGCUGUGCGAGAAAUAAGAGAAAGAGGAAGAAAGAAAAGGAGGGAGACAAAUUACAUAUCUUGUUCACUUCAUCAUGUGUGUCUAUUUACUAGAUAUUUGAUUUAAUUUAAUGCCGUUUCAGCUGUGUUGAUUCGGUCAGGUUGUGUGUCCAAACGCGCUCAUCAGAUCAGAUAUAGAUCAGUGGUCCACCAUCCUCCGCCGCCUCACCCGCGGACACGAAAAUAGAGCCCACUGAGUUAGAAGGGUGUAAAAAACACUAGAUCGACCUGAAAAACUUAAAAUUUACUACACGCAACUCUGUGACUCCGCGACUCCGUUCCCAUGUAGUUGUGUCCUCUUUUUGGGUAUUCAGAAUAUGGUCACCCCACUUUUACCGUGUGAAUACUUUUGCUUGAGUUCAGAUUUUCUUCAACUCUCAGUGGGAGUUGAAAGUGUCGUGAAUUUGCAAAAUUUGUUCUGAAAGUCCCAAAGUUUUAAUCCUAAGUCUUUUACAUCACCUGGAAAGUUUUCAUCUCAAUGAAGAUGAAUUGGAGAAAAUGUGAAGCGGCAGUAGCAGCACCAAGAAAAUAGUCAGUGCCAUAGUGAAGUUGCAACAGGUAUUUGAGGACAGCGUAAGGUUUUCCAGGGACACAAAAGCCAUAAUAAUUCAUGACAUUAUUGAUGAAUUAACUGCACUUGAUGACCCAAUUUAUUCCAAGCUCCAGGAUCUCACCAGCUAACUGUGGUUGUUAAUGAUAAGAAACACCCGUGCCAUUAUAGACUAGUUGUGUUUGUAGCUAACUAGCAAUGCUGUGUGUAAUAUUCGAGUUAAAUGUGUGUCCGUCAUGAAAUAAGUACCACUAGUUACUGCCAAAAAAAGCUAUGCAGGCUUUUUUAGAAAGUCAUUUAAUCCCUAUAUUGUUAGAAAUUUCAAAAGUAUGCAUAGCGAUUAUUAUUUUCUGAAAGUACAGUCUUACAUUUCCUCCUGUCAGCCAAAGAGAGCCGUAAUUUUCACUCAUUAUGAGCAAUGAAUCUCUUUUUGAGAAGAGUUGUCACUUUCUUGCCUCGGAGUGUAGCUCUUUGUGGUACAAAACUCUUCAAAUGCUUCUUUUAUACGGCGCUGUGACCUCAAUAGAGAAAUCUACAAUCCUCCCCCUCCGCUUGGCGCCCCGUGUUCUCAGGUGCUUGAAUCCCCUUAGUUUUACUCCGGAGGGGAUUUGAGCAUCAUGAAUAUGGAUGUGACGACGAUGAUGAACCUCGAUGAUGAAGGUAGUUUGGUCCUCUUUCAGAUAAGCGCUAAUCGCAUUUGGAGAGCGUGGCGGCACAGCUAGGUGUAAACUUGGCCAAUGGCGUUAUGCGGAUGGGGGUUGCGGGGUUGAGUGAAGGUGCUCUGGUGUGGGGAUAUGUGCGUGCAUGUGUGUCAAUGUAGGUGUGUAAGGCUAUCGCUCUAUGCAGCCUCGAAUCACUCGCCCUGGAAGAAAGCAGUGGGUGAGGUGCAGGAUGUUAUCUGAGCACUCGUAAUCCUAAACAAGGGAUUGAUCUCUUGACUCCUCCCCCUCACUUCUUUCUUCCUUUCUCCUCUCCUUUACCCUCUCUCCUCUCACCUGUUUUCAUCCAACUGUUUUUUCACACCACUGACUGUCAUUUAGAGCGAGAUGAGGGGUUAUAAUUAGCCAAGUUAUCCUUCUUCAUAUUCAAAUUUCCCAUCUAAUCUCUCUGCAGAUUUCUAAUGAGGAAACAGAAUUGGCUUGACUGUUCACAUCAGAAGACGUGAUUGCUCAAAUCACCUAGCAACAGAAUAAACCUUAUCUCCAUGUUCACUGCCAUUGUUGUCUCAAUAGGUCCAGCAUCGAUGAAGAUACCUCUAUCUGCCUGCCUUGAUAUAUUUGUGGUACUCCAAACUCUUGAAAAUCCUCUUUCUGUCUGUCAUCUAACAAGCCAUAUUACAGCCCACUCAGCUCAUUGUCGUAUUACUUCUUAAAAGACUUCCUUCAUCUCAUUAUUUUAGAUACCUCCAGGUGCGCGGCUUUGCUUCAAGUGACUUUACACGCUACUCCAAUCAUCCUCCAGAAGAUCUAACGUUUUUAGUUCUUAACAUAAAUCCCUUCAGAGAGGAUUUGGUCUCUAAAAUAUACAACAUGAUCCAGAACAAGAUUCCCCCACUCACUGGACAAAACUAAAGCUUCUUGGGAGAUAGAUAUCAAGAAAUCCAUUAAAAAAAACUUGGCAGGACAUUAUUUUACAUAUAAAUACUUCAUCUUUCUGUGUUCGACAUUGAGUUAUUUCGUCUAAAGUAGUCCAGGCUUCAUAAUUCAAAUGAUAAAUUGGCAAAGCUUUACCCUAACAUUAAGCCAGUGUGCCCCAGAAGUCAGUAUUCUCCAGUGUCCCCUGGUCAUGUCUAUCUUUGGCCAAUUUGUGGAUAUUAGUUUUUAGUUCUCUCUGAGCAAUAAGUGGAAAAACAAUAAAUCCUGACCUCUUACUGCAAUUUUUGGAGUGGUAGGGGGAGAGUGGAAGCUCUUAUACUUGCAGAAAUGCAGUUGCUUUGGAAACAAUGAGUUACUCUAAACGAGAGGUCAGUAAAAAUGUUCAAUAAGACUCAGUCAUUAUUUUUUACAUGUUAAAAGCUUGUGCCAUCUUGAGGUGUUUGGCUGUUCUAAAUAUGAAAACUGCAAACUUGAUGAUAACAAAAAGUAGAGAUGAGCGAUGUCAUUUCUUUUUUUCUUAGAUAUGGUGUUGAUACUGCAACAGCCUGAGUAAGAUUGACCUUGUUUUUUUUUUUACUAUUGUAAGAUUCUAUUGUGCUCUUUGCAAACCCUAAUGUUUGCCUGCUGAAGGGGAUUGGGGUUGAUGAUGGGAGUUCUUGGAUGUCAUGAUCACUCUACUGGUGUUAAUGUGUGUAACUCUAUUUCUAAAAAAUUACUAUAAAUAAAGUUAAAAACAAUUUUUUUUUUCAGAGUAAAAGGCCACAAGUUGAACUCAAAUUUGACUCUCCCACAACCUUAUGUACGUGAAUCUGAAUAUCAUGAUUCUACAGCGAUUUUCCCCCCAGUUUAAAAAAAGAAAGAAUUGUCUUCAUCUGACUUUUAAGAUUGAACUUUUCCCUGCUGGUGGGACGGAAAAACCUCUAUGAUGUCUUACUAACUGAAGGAUGUCACAUCGCAAGCAUCAUCCAGUUAUUUUUGAGUGAAAUAUCUCUUUACAAGCCCCCAUCUGGGGUAUGACUUACACGGUUUUUCAAAGUUCGUGUUCGGCUUGAAAAACAAAAGCUGGUGAGCUAAUGUAAAGUCUAAAGCUGUGUUUACACACACGCACACAAAACUCAAAAAUUUUCACCCUAACAUUUUCGGGACCUUGCCCUGCUCGUCCUCUUGUGAAAUUUCCAGAGUGAGGGUCAAUAGAUAUGAGAAGGAGCUUGAAAUAUAACCGGGUGAUGAUGGUUAUUUCAUGUGACUGAGGAAAACCAAGAAGAGUAAAAAAAGAAAAAAAAAGUUGAAGAGGGAUAAUUAUUUCCAAGACCAGAACAACAGAUGUCUUCACAUCAAUCUGUCAGCCUAUUGUGCUGAUAUCAUGAUAGCGUCUCUGAUGCUUCCUUUGCCACCAUGUUGUACACAUUACACUGUGGCUUUGCAGCAUGCUUUGCUUCCAGGGAUUUAUCCUACAGGGGAGACUUCGUGCUGUGAGCGACAUGUGUAAACAAGCAACUUUGUAAAUUUCAGGGGUUUAAAUCUUCCGAUUUCCAGGAGUGCAUGUGUCAAAUCAGCACAAGUGGUAGCUGACCAAGUUGAUCAAUUGUGUCUCUGAUUCCUAAAAAAAAAACCAAAUUCAUAUUUUUUUUUCUUAUUUCAGCAUUCCAUUAUUUCAUUGGGAGCUUACAUAAAUCAGAUCCAUCUAUGUUUUACAUUUGGGCAUUUUUAUACCGUAUUUCUCCUUCUCUUAUAAUGGUUUACUAUUGUAGAAACCUUUGGGACUAUGUCGCUCUCACAAUCAUCAUGUCCUUGAGUAUUUCACUGGCAUUAUUUGGGAAUUUAUGAAGUAAAAAUAAAAUAAUGCGAUCCUUACAUGUUUCAUGUUACAGCUUUCUCAUGCCACACCUUAUAAAGUUUGUAAAUGUGUUGAAAUACGAUCACAUCAGCGGACCUUCACCUCCCAGUUUACCCUUAUCCUCAAUAUUUUACCAUAUUCCGUGCUGAUAUCAGGCCUGUUUUAUUCAGCACAGGGCUGACUCCUCUCUGAGGCAGGGGUUGUGUCACAAGGAUGCAGUGAAGCUUGCUUGACGUGUAUAUAAAAAAAUAAAAAAAAACGCUCGGCUCCACUCACCUCAGGGUGUGUGGUGCAUCCAUGGCGUAUGGCCUACAUGCUCGCUCAAGCAUAAGCCGAUGUAGCCUCUGCCUCCCUGGCGCUGCAGCUCUGACUUUGUCAUUUAUCUUAGAUGGGUUUUUAUAAUGCGCAGGAAGAAAAUUCAAUGUUUGGAGACUCGGGGUCAGGCAGUGGCGAUCCUAAUAUUUAUUUGUAUGCAUUGCAUUGUUUUAUGGUUUUGGUUUCAGAGCCUUAAAGAGCAACUUUGCAGGAUCGCUUUGCUGGAAUGAGCUUUAUUUGUCAUUCUCCAGCAUUAAAUAACAACCGCUCCUCAGCCAGACGACAGAUUAAAUAACAUCAGCGCUUCUGUAAGGUUAAUAUAUCCUAGGAAAGUAUUGGGUUAUAUAAUAAAUGAAUGGUAAAUGAAGGUAGAUAGGUGUGGUCAAAUGCUGAAGAAAGUGGCAAAGGAGAAUGAGGAGAGAAGGGUGAGCUGAGGGAGCACAGGGCAUAAAUUAUUUCUUGAAAAGAAAGGAGAGUCUGCUGGUUAUGAUGGAAAAUAAGCAGCAAGAAUUCUAAAUUACAGUGUUUUCUUUCACUCCGACUGAGGAAACACCUUCAAAAAAGAUAGAUCAGUCAUGAUUCUCCAAUAUUUACUUAUGUGUCUAAGGCUGAAGUUGAAUAAAGAUUUCCUGAUAAACCAACUGAGUGAAGAAAUUUAUGAACAUGACUGUGGUCCCUUUGGAGACAGUUUACAUGCGCCAUAAAGCAAAUAUCUUUGCUUUACACACUGAAAAGUAUGAAGCUAAUUUGUACAGCUCAGAUCUGGUUC